AAUAUUUGAAUUUGCAGCUUAAAUUUUAUAGCUAAAAAUAGAUGGUGUUGUAGUGAAUAAAAGACUCAAAAUCUUUCAUCUUCUAAUCCAUUAUUCUGUUCUCUCUAAAACUAUAUGGAAAAACCUUUAGGAAAAAUCAAAGUAGAAGACUCUCUAUUCUAAUUCUUUCAAUCUUUUUCAAGAUUAUUCUUCAAGGUAAGUACUUCUCCAUGAAUUUCACUAUUUCCAACUCAAAUUCCUCCAUGUAACUAUGAACCACUAAUUAAAAUCAUAAUUAUUGGUAAUAGAUUUUUCAAAAAACUAAUUCAAAAAUUUCAAGAAAGGCUUUCUUGAUUGUUCUCCUUCAAGCAAGGGUUUCAAGGCUUCUAUCAAUUUUUUUUCAUGAUUCUUCAAAAAACUUGUUCUUCACGUCUGUAAGGCUAUCAUAGUGUUGGACUAGUUCGUCCUCAAGCCAUACAUCUACUUUCAAAUCAGUAAAAGUGAAAACUAGGAUCCUACCCUUAGAUUUGAUUAUUCUUGAGCUAAGCUAAUUUUAAGUUUUUGAAUUCUUGAUUCUUUUGAGAUUCUAUUCCUAAGUAUUGAGUUUAUUUAUUGUUAUUGAGAUCUUUGAGGUUAUUUUUAAUGACUAUAAUUCAACAUGAACUAUAUUUGAGAUAUAAAUCUUGAGAAGUUCUUUCAAAGCCAACAUUUGAGUUUCUAAGGAAGUAAAUAUGAGUUUUGAGAAAAAGUUUAAAAGUUCUAUUUCAUGAAUAUUUUAAGAGUUUCUAAUGUUAUUUUAUUCAUAUAUAUACAUAUACAUAUGUACCUAUGUUAAUUAUUGGACUUUAAAAAAAAGUUUAUAAGUGCAUGUAUUCAAGAAGGUAAACUGUAACAUCUCAGAUUCUAGAUAAACUAAAGUUAAGCUAAGAAAAAACAAGAAUAAUUAAAUAUGGAAAUAAGUAAAGAAAUAUGAAAAAUUUCUAGAUUUCAAAAGUAAGUUUUGGUCAUUUUCAAAAGGCCAUAACUCCCAGCUCAGGAAGAAUUUGGAUGAGUUCUUUAUAUGGAUGGAAAGCUCGUUAAAAUAUCAUCCCAACAGCGCCAAGGUAGUAUGAGUGAGAUAUGACCUUCGUAAGAUGGGAUGUUAAGUAGUGAAAGUUUUGAAAAAUGGAUUUAGUAAAUGUGUUUUUUUCUUAUCCUUAAGGAAAUUAAUUAUUUCGUUUUGGAGUAAUAUGUUGGGGUCUAAACUAUUCUCAUUCAGUUUACGCACUUACAAAACAUUAACUAGGGUUUUGAAAGUAAGAAGAAAAGAGGAGAAUGAAGAAGAAGACGCAAGAACGCCAAGUUUAGCUUCGUGAAUCUUCGUUUGGGGUGAUUCCUAACAAGGUAUGUGGGCUCUUCUAUGUUGGAAUACUUCACCCACACACCAAUUUCAUUCAAAUCAGUCAAGUUCAUGAAUUAACUCAUGUUAGAGGUUGGAAUCUUGAAAGAAAAUUUGACGUUCUUGUUGAUUGGAUUGUUGUUGAUCGCUGUUAGUUAUAAUACAUGUUUUAGGAUUGUUUUCGGGUCUAAAUCAUUGUGAAACAAGUUAAUUAGGGAUGCUAAGUGUUUGGGGGUGGGAUCCAUGGGAGUUUUGGAAGGUUUAGAAAUGAAAAAAAAUGAAGAAAGUCGGAAAACCCGUUGGGGGGAUUUAGUGCGCCGCGUCUCCAAAGCCCCUUAGGACAGAGUCUGUCCGUCAGGAUCUAGUGGGCCGUGCCUCUCAGAGCGCCCGCGCACAGCCUUUGUACGUUCGGGUAUGGCGUUCCGCGCCUCUUAGAGCACAAGGACACCCUGGAGACCCCGUUCUUCCCCUAUCUUUUCAUACUAGUUCCUAAGUGAUGUACCAUUCAUUCCUAGAUGUUUCCAACACUCUUAAGGUAUAUCUAAACUUCAUGAAAUCAUCCAUAAACAUAGUUCAACUCAAGGAAAGUAAGGUCACAGUCAAAAAAGUUAAGAGCCAAGUCUAGAAUUUAAGAAACAAGUAAAACUAAAGUUUCUAAAGUCAAAAAAGUUAAGAGCCCAGUUUAGAAGUUAAGAAAAAAGUAAAACUAAAGUUUCUAAAGUCUUCCACAAAUGUUUUCACUUUGUUUUAAAGACUUAAAAUUCAAGUCAAGCAAAGACUUAAAGUUUCAAGUUAUGUAAAGAGCAAGAGUUGAGUUCAUUUGUCAAAAUCAAUAAGAGAACUAAGUAUUCCCUAAGAGUUAAAGUUUCAAUUCAAGUAAAGAGCAAGAGUUGAGUUCAUUUCUUUAAAAGAUAUAAAGGAACUAAGUAUUCCCUAGAGGUUAAAAAAUAUUUCACAUUUGAGUAAAGAGGGGAAAGAGAUUUUCCAAAAAGAGUUUUGAACUAAAAAGAGGAACAUUGAUUUCCAUAAGGAGCUUUUUAAAUCAAAUGGAUUCAGUAAAUUAUCUCAACCCAAAGGAAGGAAGUCUUAUUAAAAGUAUGAGCUAAAGUACUUGGGAGUAGUAUUGAGCACUGAUCUGGAGAUGUGAGUUCAUACUAACUUAAGUCUCCAUGUAAGCCAUUUCGCUAACAUGGGAAUUGACGUGUCAUACUUUUUAGAUGAUCACGUAAGAGAGCUAGUGGAUCCACUAAGUUGAGUAAGGUCCUAUACCAAUGGCAAUGUGUGGGAUGGUCCUAUUGAAACGUGAGGUACGAUGUUGUAUCAUCACUUAGACUCAUAGUGAUGGUUUUCGGUUAGAGAAACUCCCACAGUGGCGAUAUUAAUUUCUUAUAUAAGUAAAGUUGAGUUUGUUAUUGCAUUUCAUUUAAUGAGCUAAGUUGUUUUCACUGUUUUAUGAGCUUUAUACACACACACAUACAUAUAUAUAUAUAUAUAUAUAUAUAUAUAUAUAUAUAUAUAUAUAUAUAUAUGCAUAUUGCAUGUGAUUUAAACUACUUUAUAUGCAUAUCAUUUGAGUUAAGUAUAUUUGUGAGUUAAAUAACCAAGGUAAGUUCAUCUAAUUCCUCAAGCUUAAGUCAUUUCUUAGAUCUCCAACUCGCAUACUCGUACAUUCAGUGUACUGAUGCCAGUUGGCCUGCAUCAUUUCAUGAUGCAGACGCAGGUACCCAAGAUUAUCACGUAACGCUUCAUUGAUUCAAUAUUGAGCAUUAGAGUUGUGGUGAGCCUCCUUGCAUUCUGGAGGACAUCCUUUAUCAUUUUCUGUAUUAGCUUAGCUUCUAGAAUGUUGUGGGGUCUGUCCCAACAUCCCUCUCUAGAUAGUUUAUAGGCUUCGUAGUCUAUAGAAUUUUAGUUUGGAUUUUUUUCAGUUAUUAAGACUCAAGUGCCAGUUUGGACAAUAUUAUGACAUGACGUAUUUUCCUUUUAUUAUGUUUUUACUCGUGUCAAAGUUGAGGGUUGUUUUCAUCUAAUUUAAGUAGCUAGGCCAAGGGUUCGCUUGAGGGCCAACAAUUGUCUUCUAGUGCUGGUCCCAACCAGGGUAUAGGCUUGGGCAUGACAUAAACAAGAUAUCAUGUUUAGAAAAGUAUUUCAAGUAAUGUAACAAGUCCAUUAUUUGUAAUGGAAUUGAGUACAAAGUUUAUAAAUCUUGAGAAGUUUUUUCAAAGCCAACACUUGAGUUUCUGAGGAAGUAAAUAUAAGUUUUGAGAAAAAGUUUAAAGGUUCUAUUUCAUAAAUAUUUAAGAGUUUUUAAUGUUAUUUUAUUAAUAUAUAUAUACAUAUGUACCUAUGUUAAUUAUUGGACUUCAAAAAUAAGCUCAUAAGUGCAUAUUUUCAAGAAGGUAAACAAGUCUCAUGUUUAGAAAAGUAUUUCAAGUAAUGUAAUAAGUCGAUUACUCUGUAAUGGGUGAAUUGAGCAUAAAUUUAUAUUAACUAUUUUAGGAGUAAUAUUGAGCACCGAGUUGGAUUAGAGUAUUUUAUGAUUUUGAAAUCCCAUUGAACUACAUAGCUAGCGUAGGACAGGAUAACAUUUUGAUUCUUCAUGCGACUCCUCCGUUUCUAAGAAGGAUAAUUAGAUGGAUCCAUAGUCACAAUAUCAUUCUAUAUCCCGACAAAGUAUUAGAUGACCCUUACAACAUGAAGCAAAACGUUGUAUCAUUUCUAGGAUCAUGGUAAUGGAUGUGAGUUAGAGAAACUUCCCACAAGAAAAGUAUAUUAUUUUCAUGUUUCUUUCAUUGUAUAUUUUAUUGUAAUGCUUAAAUGGUUUUCAAUUUAUGUUUAUGUAUUCAUCCAGUUGAGUUGCUUUCUGUCAUUUAGUUUCGUUCUUUGUUUACUUAGCCAAAUUACAUACCCAUACAUUUCAUGUACUGAUGUCAUUCGACUUGCAUCCUUUUAUGAUGCAGAUUUAGAUGUUCAUUAUUAUCAAAAGAAGAUCACUUUACUCUCUAGUUAGCUCUGUUGAGCCUCCUUGUAUUCUAGAAGAUUUCACAAUUACUUUCCACUUAGUGUUUUGAGGUGUCAUGGGUCUUGUACCAACGUCCUUUCUAAUAGUAGUGGUUUCAUAGAUAUACAAUUUUGGAGAGUCUUUUAGUUUCAUAUAUUUUAUUUAAAGCUUAUAUUUCAUACUCACUAUAUCUAGUAAAUUUUUAGAUUCAAUAAACCGUUCUUAAACGUUUCUCUUAAUUGAUGCUUCUGUAGCUUAAGUAGUCUUUUGCUUGUAGUCAACCAAAAUGAGGGUUCACUUAGGAAUCAACAAUUGUUCUUGAGUGCUGGUCACGUCUAGGGAAUAGGUUCGGGUCGUGAAAAACUUGGUAUCAUAGUAUAGAGUUCAAGUGUCCUAGGGUGUCAAUGAAUUUGUUAGUAGGAUCUUCAUUAUUGUUGUGAGGGACAACAUUUUAUAAAUAAGAGAUUAUAGACGUUUAAGAAAAGUUUUCUUCUUUCAUACUCUAAAUCGUGCAAUAGAGCUGUGUCAUAAAGAACUUACUAUGACUCAUGCAUUCCUCUUAUCCAUUUGACUACCCCUCAUACUCAAGGUAGUUGACAAUCAAAGUCCGGAUCCUUAUGGAUGAGUUUCUUUUCGAUAAAGUCUUUAGAAAAGUCAAGAGACCUCAUAGGGUCUUGAGAGAAGCUUGUAAGUGAGCUUUAGUGUGGAGAUUCGAAAGAAUACACUUAUAGUUUAUCUGCAUCUUGCAUUCAAGAUAAAAGUGAGAUGUAUUUCCACACUUUUCCCCCUGAACCUCGUUUUAGUUGAGACCCUUAUGAGGAGAUAUGUUUUAGAACAUAGGUUGUAUUUUCGCCCGAAGAGAUAGUACGAGUUACAAUGUUAUAAGUAGUAGUAGUAAAAGUGGACUAAGUUAGAUUAAUGAAUGCAAACGUAUAGUAAUUACAAAAAAAGAUAAUGAUGAGGCAAACUAUGUUGUUGUAGUCAUGCACUCAGUAUGUUAUUAAUGAUGAGUUUUCCAUAGGUAGACUAAGAAGUGAUGAGUUUGUGUAAAUUUCAUGAUAGAAGGUAGAGUAAGAGUUACUAGUAUGAGUCAGUUAGAGUAUAUACUUUAAUCAAAAGGUUUUUUUCAACGGAACAUUGUGUUAGUGAAGGCCAAAUAUAGGUGUUGAAUAAAAGAGUAGAGUAUUCAUGAGGUGAUAGGUCUAAUCUAGGCUUAUGAUUUUUAAGGGAGAACCCAUAAUAUUCAUAGGUCUAAAAAACUAAUUAGACAAUGAUGUAUAUCUAAUGAAUAAAUACUACUUAUGUUGAAAUGAAAUGUGGCGGUAAAUUAUAAGUAUGAAGACUAAGAGGUAAAGAUUAACUAUUUUUCAUGAGGUCUUAGUAGGUCUGUGUUUCUUAAUUUUUUUAGUAGUUGUAAGUUAGAAUAGCUAGAGAGCAAUCAUGUUGACAUCCAGAAUUAGUAAUAAACAUAAAGCUUGAAUUUGAGAUGAGAGUCAUGGUAAAAAAUGGAAAAAUGAGGGUUUUAAUGUUAGUUUUGAGAUUUGAUAUGAUAAACUUGACAUAGAGUAGGAGAGUAGUUAAUAGGUUAGUGAUAAUAAAGGUGAGUGGUACACGUAUGAUAUUCUAACAUUGAGGUAAGAUUACUGAAGUGUGGCUAAGUCAUUAGAGUAACAAGAGUAUUAAGAGGUGUACCCGAGGUUGUACGUAACCAGAUGAAGUUCUAAUUAUGUUUCAUUUUUUCAUAUAUGAGUAGAUAAUAUAUUCGAGUCGUCAAUGUGGAAUAGGCUGGUGUAAGCAUUUUUUUCCUUAAGACUUAAAUGAAGCAGUCUGACAAGCCAAUGAAAAGAGGUUAAUGGAAGCAUCUUAUAAAGAGGUCUUAGAAGGAGUCUUACUACAUGCUUAUUGAGAGUUCAAUAACCAUAAGAUAAGUCUUUCCUGUGUAUUACUGUUAAGAAAUGUAGACCUUUUUAGAAAUAAUGGAAUAGAUCCAUAGCUUUAAAAUGACAACCUCAGACAUAACGGGGGAUAUUAUGACAUGAGAAAUCAAUUCAAGUGUUGAGGAUGAGAGAGUGAUGUUUUUCGAAUGAGUUUUAUAGGUCCAUCAAUACCUUCAUAUACUACGUGUUCCUCAAGGUUAAAUUAUUACAACAUGUUGUUAAUGUUUCUAAUAUAAAAUUUGUGUCUAUGACUUAUAAUUAUACACUUCAUAGAGUUUCACAUCUAUGCUCAGCUUCCAGAAUGAGGGACAAAAACUUUAGCCCAUUAACCUUGAGAUUAAUCCAUAAAGUUAUGGAUAUCAGCCUCAUUAUAUGAACUUAUUCAUAUUAGUAUUCAAGUUUCACAGUAUAUCUAGCCUUACAAAUUCAUGAUUCACUUUCAGUGUCUAGCAACAUAAUUUUGUGUCAUGCAUAUUUUUUUUAUAAGACAUGUGCUUAUGGUCUUUCGCCCUAAAGCUCUCUCAGUGAUCCUUUUUAGUUGAGGGUGUUGUUGUUGAUAGUAGUUGUAUGAAUGAUAGACAAGGGGAUUCAUAUUUCUUAUUUUGUUAGGGAUGAUGUGUUUAUUCCAUCUAAGUUUAUAAAUAUGAAGGAAGAAGGAGAAAAGGUUUUACGAUGAGCAAUGAGUCAUUUCCUGGUAAUAAUACAUGAAAGCUUAGUUGGUAGAAAUGAUGAGAAGUUCUUAGAAAGUGGGUUAGCAGGAUUCUAUAGAGUGGUUAUGGUUUUAAGCUUGAAUGUGGUGUUUUAAACCUGUGGAUAGUACUUCAUAUGUUAGGUGUCUUGUGAUAUGAGCUCAAAGUUAGUUGAAUGUAACGAUAAGGAGUAGUGUUCCUGAGAUGGGAUUUUCCACAGAGGUAUAGAACCCGAAGCAUGUGAUUUAGAUAAAAACAAUAACCAUAUAUUAAGUACUUGGUGAUUCCGAGUUAGAGUUGAAUAAAGUAAGAGUAACCCAUUUCCAUUCUCAGACCAUCUGUUAUUCGAGGAUGAAUGAUCCCAAGGGGAGAUGUUGUAACACCCAGAAAAUUUCUUAGUUAAGUCUUGAACCAUUCUUCAUUCACUUGUAGGAUCAUGAUUGGUGAUUCAUAAGGUAUUUAUAUGUGUAAUUGUAAAUUCUUUAUUCUGUGAAUGAUUUGGAUAUGGAUUAAGGUCACUAGAAUCCCUAGCACAAAGUAGAGUUGAAAGUUCCGUUUAUCGAUUACGUUUUGAUGUAAGAUUUUACUUGGGACAACUUCAAACGACAAUAUCUCCUAGAUUAUAAGGAGUUACAUGACCCACCACCUAUCAAAUUAAAGGUAUUUGACUCUAAUUUCCAAUUCCACAAGUUUUGCGUUAAUUAAAUUUCGGAGUGAGAAGGUAAGACCAUUUUAGUAACUCAUACAGUUCAGUGAUGAAUUAGCCAACAGGAAAACAUUUAAAAGAGUCCUUUUGCCUUUUUACCUCCAACGAAAUCCUAGAAAUUUUUUGACUGAUUGUAAGGCAAAAACAUUUAAAAGUGUCCUUUUGCCUUUUUACCUGCAACAAAAUCCUAGACAUUUUUUGACUGAUCGUAAGGCUAAAAAUCAGAUAUUUAUCUUUUAAUUCAUCAUUCUCUUCUCUUUCAAACCCUGGGGCAAAAUCGUAUAGAAGAUUCCAUCCAAAAUUCUUUUAAUCCUUUUCAAGAUUUUUGUUCAAGGUAAGUACUUCUCCAACAAUUUUGUCAUCGCCAACGCAAAUUUCUCCAUAAAAUUAUGAAUCAAUAAUGUAAAUCAUAAUUCUCAGUCAUAGAGAUUUGAAGAAAUUAAUUCAAGAUUCUAAAGAAAGGUUUUCUUGAUUGUUCUCCUUCAAGCUACGGUUUCAAGUCUUUUAAUCAAGUUCUUUUUCAAGAUUCUUCAAGAUUAUUGAAGAACCUUGUUCUUCCAGCUAUGUAAGACUAUCAUAGUGUUGAGCUUUAUUCCUUCUUACGCAAUACAUCUACUUUCAAAUAAGUAAAAGUGAAAUCUAAGAUUCUACCCUAAGAUUUGAGUAAUUUUGAGCUAAGUUGAUUUUGAGUUAUUGAAUUCUUGAUUCUUUUAAAAUUCUAUUCCUUUGUAUUGCAUUUCAAUAUUUUUAUUGUGCCCCUUGAAUUGAUUUUUUCAUGUCUAUAAUAUAGUAUGAAUCCUUUUUUGAGUUAUAAAUCUUGAGAAGUUUUUUCACAGCUAAUGCUUGAUUUUUAAACAAAUUUUUUGAGGAAGUAAAGAAUAGUCUUGAGAAUAAGAUUAAAGGUUCUAUUUCAUAUAUAUAUAUAUAUAUAUAUAUACUUCAAAGAUAAGUUCAUAUGUGAAUGUUUUCAAGAAGGUAAACAAGUGUCAUAUUUUGAAAAGUAUUUCAAGUAAUGUAAGAAUUACAUUCUUUGUAAUGUGUGAAUUGAGCACAAAGUUAUACUUAUUAUUUUGGGAGUAGUAUAGAGAACCGAGUUGGGUUAGAGUCUUUGAUGAUUCAGAGUUCCAUAGAGGUGCGUAACUACCGUAGAAUAAGAUAACAUUGAUUCUCCAUGCGAUUCCUCAAUGCGUCUGAGAAGGCUAAUUAGAUGGAUCCAUAGUCAUGAUAUCAUCCUAUACCUCAAAAAAGUAUAAUAUGGCCUGGCAACAUCAUGCAAAACGUUGUAUCAUUGCUAGGCUCAUGGUAAUGGUUGUCGGUUAGAGAAAUUUUCCACCAGUUAAGUAUAUUAAUUUCGUGUUGGUUUGAUUGUAUAUUAAAUUGUAAAGCUCAAAUGAGUUUCAAUUCAUGUUCAUGAAUUGAUUCAGUUGAGUUUCUUUCAGUCAUUUACUUUAGUUAUUUGCUUACUCAACCAUUUUAAAUACUCGUAUAUUUCAUGUACUAAUUGCAUUUAACGUGCAUCUUUUUAUGAUGUAGAUAUAGAUGUUCAUAAUUAUCAACAGGGCUGUUUUGAGAUCACUGUACACUCCAGUUAGCUUCUUCAUAAUUACUUUCGAGUUAGUAGUUUUGAGAUGUUGCAGGUCUUAUCCUGACAUCCUUUGUUAAUAGUACAAGCUUCAUAGAAAUAUAGUUUUGGAAAUUGUUUUAGUUUAAGAUAUUUUAUAUAAAAUUUAUGUUUCAUAAUAAGUAUAUCGAAUUAUGUUUUUGUAUUCAAUAAAACGUUUUUGACGUUU
Molecule: long non-coding RNA, 9477 nt
Filed under: Solanum lycopersicum (tomato)
Lineage: Eukaryota; Viridiplantae; Streptophyta; Magnoliopsida; Solanales; Solanaceae
Description: long non-coding RNA (SLYC_LNC000413)
Source: RNAcentral